RNAcentral lists this ribosomal RNA (213 nucleotides) under uncultured bacterium. Its description in RNAcentral is "partial 16S ribosomal RNA". It matches the Rfam family "Bacterial small subunit ribosomal RNA", at positions 1280 to 1500 of the family's 1533-position model. The record is from RNAcentral.
CCCUAGUCUCAGUUCGGAUUGGAGUCUGCAACCCGACUCCAUGAAGCUGGAUUCGCUAGUAAUCGCGCAUCAGCCACGGCGCGGUGAAUACGUUCCCGGGCCUUGUACACACCGCCCGUCAAGCCAUGGAAGCCGGGAGUGCCUGAAGUGCGUGAGCGCAAGCAGCGCCCUAAGGUAAAACCGGUGACUGGGGCUAAGUCGUAACAAGGUAAC